UUUAAUUCGAAGCAACGCGAAGAACCUUACCAGGUCUUGACAUCCAGUGCAAACCUAAGAGAUUAGGUGUUCCCUUCGGGGACGCUGAGACAGGUGGUGCAUGGCUGUCGUCAGCUCGUGUCGUGAGAUGUUGGGUUAAGUCCCGCAACGAGCGCAACCCUUGUCAUUAGUUGCCAUCAUUAAGUUGGGCACCCUAAUGAGACUGCCGGUGACAAACCGGAGGAAGGUGGGGAUGACGUCAAGUCAUCAUGCCCCUUAUGACCUGGGCUACACACGUGCUACAAUGGACGGUACAACGAGAAGCGAACCUGCGAAGGCAAGCGGAUCUCUUAAAGCCGUUCUCAGUUCGGACUGUAGGCUGCAACUCGCCUACACGAAGCUGGAAUCGCUAGUAAUCGCGGAUCAGCACGCCG
RNAcentral lists this ribosomal RNA (413 nucleotides) under uncultured bacterium. RNAcentral's name for it is "bacterial SSU rRNA". It matches the Rfam family "Bacterial small subunit ribosomal RNA", at positions 945 to 1359 of the family's 1533-position model. The record is from RNAcentral.